Molecule: ribosomal RNA, 433 nt
Filed under: uncultured bacterium
Lineage: Bacteria
Description: partial 16S ribosomal RNA
Rfam family: Bacterial small subunit ribosomal RNA
Source: RNAcentral
AACGAACGCUGGCGGCAUGCCUAACACAUGCAAGUCGAACGAGACCUUCGGGUCUAGUGGCGCACGGGUGCGUAACGCGUGGGAACCUGCCCUUAGGUUCGGAAUAACUCCCCGAAAGGGGUGCUAAUACCGGAUAAUGUCUUCGGACCAAAGAUUUAUCGCCUUUGGAUGGGCCCGCGUUGGAUUAGCUAGUUGGUAGGGUAAAAGCCUACCAAGGCGACGAUCCAUAGCUGGUCUGAGAGGAUGAUCAGCCACACUGGGACUGAGACACGGCCCAGACUCCUACGGAAGGCAGCAGUGGGGAAUAUUGGACAAUGGGCGAAAGCCUGAUCCAGCAAUGCCGCGUGAGUGAUGAAGGCCUUAGGGUUGUAAAGCUCUUUUACCCGGGACGAUAAUGACAGUACCGGGAGAAUAAGCUCCGGCUAACUCCGUG